GACGAACGCUGGCGGCGUGCUUAACACAUGCAAGUCGAACGGAAAGGCCCUGCUUUUGUGGGGUGCUCGAGUGGCUAACGUGUGAGUAACACGUGAGUAACCUGCCCUUGACUUUGGGAUAACUUCAGGAAACUGGGGCUACUACCGGAUAGGAGCUCCUGCUGCAUGGUGGGGGUUGGAAAGUUUCGGCGGUUGGGGAUGGACUCGCGGCUUAUCAGCUUGUUGGUGGGGUAGUGGCUUACCAAGGCUUUGACGGGUAGCCGGCCUGAGAGGGUGACCGGCCACAUUGGGAAUGAGAUACGGCCCAGACUCCUACGGGAGGCAGCAGUGGGGAAUAUUGCACAAUGGGCGGAAGCCUGAUGCAGCAACGCCGCGUGCGGGAUGACGGCCUUCGGGUUGUAAACCGCUUUCGCCUGUGACGAAGCGUGAGUGACGGUAAUGGGUAAAGAAGCACCGGCUAACUACGUG
Molecule: ribosomal RNA, 468 nt
Filed under: uncultured bacterium
Lineage: Bacteria
Description: partial 16S ribosomal RNA
Rfam family: Bacterial small subunit ribosomal RNA
Source: RNAcentral